Molecule: ribosomal RNA, 502 nt
Filed under: uncultured bacterium
Lineage: Bacteria
Description: partial 16S ribosomal RNA
Rfam family: Bacterial small subunit ribosomal RNA
Source: RNAcentral
GACGAACGCUGGCGGCGUGCCUAAUACAUGCAAGUCGAACGAACCGCGACUAGGUGCUUGCACUUGGUCAAGGUGAGUGGCGAACGGGUGAGUAACACGUGGGUAACCUUCCUCAUAGUGGGGGAUAACAGUCGGAAACGACUGCUAAUACCGCAUAGGACAUAGGAUCACAUGAUCCAGUGAGGAAAGGUGGCGCAAGCUAUCGCUAAGAGAUGGACCCGCGGUGCAUUAGCUAGUUGGUAGGGUAAAGGCCUACCAAGGCGAUGAUGCAUAGCCGACCUGAGAGGGUGAUCGGCCACAUUGGGACUGAGACACGGCCCAAACUCCUACGGGAGGCAGCAGUAGGGAAUCUUCCGCAAUGGACGCAAGUCUGACGGAGCAACGCCGCGUGAGUGAAGAAGGUCUUCGGAUCGUAAAGCUCUGUUGUUAGAGAAGAACAGCGCAUAGAGUAACUGUUAUGCGUGUGACGGUAUCUAACCAGAAAGCCACGGCUAACUACGUG